Molecule: ribosomal RNA, 253 nt
Filed under: uncultured bacterium
Lineage: Bacteria
Description: partial 16S ribosomal RNA
Rfam family: Bacterial small subunit ribosomal RNA
Source: RNAcentral
GACGUAGGGCGCGAGCGUUGUCCGGAUUUAUUGGGCGUAAAGAGCUCGUAGGCGGCUUGUCGCGUCGUUCGUGAAAACUUGGGGCUCAACCCCAAGCUUGCGGUCGAUACGGGCAGGCUAGAGUUCGGAAGAGGCGAGUGGAAUUCCCGGUGUAGCGGUGAAAUGCGCAGAUAUCAGGAGGAACACCGGUGGCGAAGGCGGCUUCCUGGACAUUGACUGACGCUGAGACGCGAAAGCGUGGGGAGCAAACAGG